This 403-nucleotide long non-coding RNA is filed under the name Crocodylus porosus (Australian saltwater crocodile). Its description in RNAcentral is "lncRNA (ENSCPRG00005006470.1)". Lineage: Eukaryota; Metazoa; Chordata; Crocodylia; Crocodylidae. The record is from RNAcentral.
CCUGCAGGUUGGAGGUGGAAGCUCCUGCUUUACCAACUUCAGAUAAUUUGUUACAGGCAUUUAUCACAUUACUAUGAGCUUUGUUGACUUCAGUGGAACUUGACGUGGGCAUUGAACUUUUCUGGAUCCAACUCACUGGGUUCAAAGUGUUCUUUGGUGUGCAAAUCUGAAAGCUUGAAGGGAUGCCAUGUGUCUUCAACCAAACAAGGGGGAACAGAGAAUCCCAAACCAUUAUUGUCUGUUGUGAUGUCUUGAUAAGGACUAGAUGGGAGCUGUUCACCUUCAAAAUCAUGGGGCCAGAAGGAUAUCAGAAAUGUACAAAGGGGGCUUUCUGCUACAGACUGUUGAGCCGACAGAGAAGGUUGAGAUGUGUAUACAAGGACCCAGGCUGUGCAGCACCUUG